This is a non-coding RNA of Termitomyces sp. Mi166#008, 84 nucleotides long. The record is from the annotation of a GenBank genome assembly. NCBI's taxonomy places the organism in Eukaryota, Fungi, Basidiomycota, Agaricomycetes, Agaricales, Lyophyllaceae.
GGGGACUUGGCACAGUGGUAGCGCGCCUGCUUUGCACAUUUGUGUAGUUGCAUGAGGUCGUGGGUUCGAACCCCACAGUCUCCA